Molecule: long non-coding RNA, 546 nt
Organism: Culicoides brevitarsis
Lineage: Eukaryota; Metazoa; Arthropoda; Insecta; Diptera; Ceratopogonidae
Exons: 3
Source: RefSeq, a predicted model, not a curated record
UUGUGUGUUGAAUUAUCUUCCUCUAUCCUCCUUGACUCGGUUAAUUCACUCGCGGUUAAUGAUUAAGUUGUUUACAAAACAAAUGCCGCGGAUCACGCUUUCCGAUGGUGACUGAGCCAACGACGACGUGAAUGCGGCAUGUGUCAUGGUACGCGAUGAACUGUCUGCUCUUUUUUCGUCUCCGUCUCCGAGUUUCCGUAUCACUUUCGUCGCGAUUUAUUUUUAAAUAAUUUUUUUUUCGAGCCAUGCAACUUUGUUGGAAUGUUCGAAUUUUUGUGGAAAGUCCAUGUCGAGGAACCGGAGACGGGAUUAUUAUGUCAUAUUUGUGCGGAAAUCGUGUUAACGUAUAUUUUAAUGGUUUUUUAAUGGGAAUCACGUGGAUUACAAUGGAUUGAAGAACGAUCAAGAAGAAGUUACGUUCUAAUUCAUGAGAGAGGGUGAAUAAAAUUGAUGAGUUAUCAGGAAAAAAAUAAAAUUCUUUAAGCCGGAAUAAAAAAUAUUUACCUAUGUCAAAAAAGAAAUAAUAAUAUUAAAUAAAAUAAAAUA